UACGUAGGGGGCAAGCGUUGUCCGGAUUUAUUGGGCGUAAAGAGCGUGUAGGCGGCCUUACAGGUCAGCUGUGAAAACUCGAGGCUCAACCUCGAGACGUCGGUUGAAACCGUUUGGCUAGAGUCCGGAAGAGGAGAGUGGAAUUCCCGGUGUAGCGGUGAAAUGCGCAGAUAUCGGGAAGAACACCCGUGGCGAAGGCGGCUCUCUGGGACGGUACUGACGCUGAGACGCGAAAGCGUGGGGAGCGAACAGG
RNAcentral lists this ribosomal RNA (253 nucleotides) under uncultured bacterium. Its description in RNAcentral is "partial 16S ribosomal RNA". It matches the Rfam family "Bacterial small subunit ribosomal RNA", at positions 524 to 776 of the family's 1533-position model. The record is from RNAcentral.